ACGCUGGCGGCGUGCUUAACACAUGCAAGUCGAACGGAAAGGCCCUGCUUUUGUGGGGUGCUCGAGUGGCGAACGGGUGAGUAACACGUGAGUAACCUGCCCUUGACUUUGGGAUAACUUCAGGAAACUGGGGCUAAUACCGGAUAGGAGCUCCUGCUGCAUGGUGGGGGUUGGAAAGUUUCGGCGGUUGGGGAUGGACUCGCGGCUUAUCAGCUUGUUGGUGGGGUAGUGGCUUACCAAGGCUUUGACGGGUAGCCGGCCUGAGAGGGUGACCGGCCACAUUGGGACUGAGAUACGGCCCAGACUCCUACGGGAGGCAGCAGUGGGGAAUAUUGCACAAUGGGCGGAAGCCUGAUGCAGCAACGCCGCGUGCGGGAUGACGGCCUUCGGGUUGUAAGCCGCUUUCGCCUGUGACGAAGCGUGAGUGACGGUAAUGGGUAAAGAAGCACCGGCUAACUACGUGCCAGCAGCCGCGGUGAUACGUAGGGUGCGAGCGUUGUCCGGAUUUAUUGGGCGUAAAGGGCUCGUAGGUGGUUGAUCGCGUCGGAAGUGUAAUCUUGGGGCUUAACCCUGAGCGUGCUUUCGAUACGGGUUGACUUGAGGAAGGUAGGGGAGAAUGGAAUUCCUGGUGGAGCGGUGGAAUGCGCAGAUAUCAGGAGGAACACCAGUGGCGAAGGCGGUUCUCUGGGCCUUUCCUGACGCUGAGGAGCGAAAGCGUGGGGAGCGAACAGGCUUAGAUACCCUGGUAGUCCACGCUGUAAACGGUGGGUACUAGGUGUGGGGUCCAUUCCACGGGUUCCGUGCCGUAGCUAACGCUUUAAGUACCCCGCCUGGGGAGUACGGCCGCAAGGCUAAAACUCAAAGGAAUUGACGGGGCCCCGCACAAGCGGCGGAGCAUGCGGAUUAAUUCGAUGCAACGCGUAGAACCUUACCUGGGUUUGACAUGGAUCGGGAGUGCUCAGAGAUGGGUGUGCCUCUUUUGGGGUCGGUUCACAGGUGGUGCAUGGCUGUCGUCAGCUCGUGUCGUGAGAUGUUGGGUUAAGUCCCGCAACGAGCGCAACCCUUGUUCACUGUUGCCAGCACGUUAUGGUGGGGACUCAGUGGAGACCGCCGGGGUCAACUCGGAGGAAGGUGGGGAUGACGUCAAGUCAUCAUGCCCCUUAUGUCCAGGGCUUCACGCAUGCUACAAUGGCUGGUACAGAGAGUGGCGAGCCUGUGAGGGUGAGCGAAUCUCGGAAAGCCGGUCUCAGUUCGGAUUGGGGUCUGCAACUCGACCUCAUGAAGUCGGAGUCGCUAGUAAUCGCAGAUCAGCAACGCUGCGGUGAAUACGUUCCCGGGGCUUGUACACACCGCCCGUCAAGUCAUGAAAGUUGGUAACACCCGAAGCCGGUGGCCUAACCGUUGUGGGGGAGCCGUCGAAGGUGGGACUGGUGAUUA
Molecule: ribosomal RNA, 1437 nt
Filed under: uncultured organism
Description: partial small subunit ribosomal RNA
Rfam family: Bacterial small subunit ribosomal RNA
Source: RNAcentral